GAUGAACGCUGGCGGCGUGCCUAAUACAUGCAAGUCGAGCGAACGGACGAGAAGCUUGCUUCUCUGAUGUUAGCGGCGGACGGGUGAGUAACACGUGGAUAACCUACCUAUAAGACUGGGAUAACUUCGGGAAACCGGAGCUAAUACCGGAUAAUAUUUUGAACCGCAUGGUUCAAAAGUGAAAGACGGUCUUGCUGUCACUUAUAGAUGGAUCCGCGCUGCAUUAGCUAGUUGGUAAGGUAACGGCUUACCAAGGCAACGAUGCAUAGCCGACCUGAGAGGGUGAUCGGCCACACUGGAACUGAGACACGGUCCAGACUCCUACGGGAGGCAGCAGUAGGGAAUCUUCCGCAAUGGGCGAAAGCCUGACGGAGCAACGCCGCGUGAGUGAUGGAGGUCUUCGGAUCGUAAAACUCUGUUAUUAGGGAAGAACAUAUGUGUAAGUAACUGUGCACAUCUUGACGGUACCUAAUCAGAAAGCCACGGCUAACUACGUGCCAGCAGCCGCGGUAAUACGUAGGUGGCAAGCGUUAUCCGGAAUUAUUGGGCGUAAAGCGCGCGUAGGCGGUUUUUUAAGUCUGAUGUGAAAGCCCACGGCUCAACCGUGGAGGGUCAUUGGAAACUGGAAAACUUGAGUGCAGAAGAGGAAAGUGGAAUUCCAUGUGUAGCGGUGAAAUGCGCAGAGAUAUGGAGGAACACCAGUGGCGAAGGCGACUUUCUGGUCCGUAACUGACGCUGAUGUGCGAAAGCGUGGGGAUCAAACAGGAUUAGAUACCCUGGUAGUCCACGCCGUAAACGAUGAGUGCUAAGUGUUAGGGGGUUUCCGCCCCUUAGUGCUGCAGCUAACGCAUUAAGCACUCCGCCUGGGGAGUACGACCGCAAGGUUGAAACUCAAAGGAAUUGACGGGGACCCGCACAAGCGGUGGAGCAUGUGGUUUAAUUCGAAGCAACGCGAAGAACCUUACCAAAUCUUGACAUCCUUUGACAACUCUAGAGAUAGAGCCUUCCCCUUCGGGGGGCAAAGUGACAGGUGGUGCAUGGUUGUCGUCAGCUCGUGUCGUGAGAUGUUGGGUUAAGUCCCGCAACGAGCGCAACCCUUAAGCUUAGUUGCCAUCAUUAAGUUGGGCACUCUAAGUUGACUGCCGGUGACAAACCGGAGGAAGGUGGGGAUGACGUCAAAUCAUCAUGCCCCUUAUGAUUUGGGCUACACACGUGCUACAAUGGACAAUACAAAGGGCAGCGAAACCGCGAGGUCAAGCAAAUCCCAUAAAGUUGUUCUCAGUUCGGAUUGUAGUCUGCAACUCGACUACAUGAAGCUGGAAUCGCUAGUAAUCGUAGAUCAGCAUGCUACGGUGAAUACGUUCCCGGGUCU
Molecule: ribosomal RNA, 1372 nt
Filed under: uncultured bacterium
Lineage: Bacteria
Description: bacterial SSU rRNA
Rfam family: Bacterial small subunit ribosomal RNA
Source: RNAcentral